Molecule: ribosomal RNA, 119 nt
Organism: Hucho hucho (huchen)
Lineage: Eukaryota; Metazoa; Chordata; Actinopteri; Salmoniformes; Salmonidae
Source: Ensembl
GCUUACGGCCGUACCAGCCUGAAUACGCCUGAUCUCGUCAGAUCUCAGAAGCUAAGCAGGGUCGGGCCUGGUUAGUACUCGGAUGGGAGACUUCCUGGGAAUACCAGGUGCUGUAAGCA